CUACGGGAUGCAGCAGUGAGGAAUAUUGCACAAUGGGGGGAACCCUGAUGCAGCAACGCCGCGUGGAGGAUGACGCAUUUCGGUGUGUAAACUCCUUUUAUAUGUCAAGAAAAUGACGGUAGCAUAUGAAUAAGCACCGGCUAACUCCGUGCCAGCAGCCGCGGUAAUACGGAGGGUGCAAGCGGUACUCGGAAUCACUGGGCGUAAAGGACGCGUGGGCGGGUUGGAAAGUCAGGUGUGAAAUCCUACAGCUUAACUGUAGAACUGCACUUGAAACUUCUAAUCUAGAGUAUGGGAGGGGGAGAUGGAAUUAGUGGUGUAGGGGUAAAAUCCGUAGAUAUCACUAGGAAUACCUAAAGCGAAGGCGAUCUCCUGGAACAUUACUGACGCUAAGGCGUGAAAGCGUGGGGAGCAAACAGGAUUAGAUACCCCAGUAGUC
Molecule: ribosomal RNA, 439 nt
Filed under: uncultured bacterium
Lineage: Bacteria
Description: partial 16S ribosomal RNA
Rfam family: Bacterial small subunit ribosomal RNA
Source: RNAcentral